Molecule: signal recognition particle RNA, 301 nt
Filed under: Aotus nancymaae (Ma's night monkey)
Lineage: Eukaryota; Metazoa; Chordata; Mammalia; Primates; Aotidae
Description: Metazoan signal recognition particle RNA (ENSANAG00000012092.1)
Rfam family: Metazoan signal recognition particle RNA
About the family: The signal recognition particle (SRP) is a universally conserved ribonucleoprotein.
Source: RNAcentral
GCUGGGGGCACGGUGGCCCUUGCCUGUAGUCCCAGCUACUCGGGAGGCUGAGGCCGGAGGAUCGCUUGAGCCCAGGAGUUCUGGGCUGUAGUGCGCUAUGCCAAUCGGGUGUCCGCACUGAGUUCGGCAUCAAUAUGGUGACCUACUGGGAGCGAGGGACCACCAGGUUGCCUAAGGAGGGGUGAACCAGCCCAGGUCGGAAACGGAGCAGGUCAAAACUCCUAUGCUGAUCAAUAGUGGGAUCGCGCCUGUGAAUAGCCACUGCACUCCAGCCUGGGCAACAUAGCGAGACCCUGUCCCU